CCUACGGGGGGCAGCAGUCGAGAAUCAUUCACAAUGGGGGAAACCCUGAUGGUGCGACGCCGCGUGGGGGAAUGAAGGUCUUCGGAUUGUAAACCCCUGUCAUGUGGGAGCAAUUUAAAAAGAUAGUACCACAAGAGGAAGAGACGGCUAACUCUGGGCCAGCAGCCGCGGUAAUACAGAGGUCUCAAGCGUUGUUCGGAAGCACUGGGCGUAAAGCGUGCGUAGGCUGUUUCGUAAGUCGUGUGUGAAAGGCGCGGGCUCAACCCGCGGACGGCACAUGAUACUGCGAGACUAGAGUGAGGGAGGGGGAACCGGAAUUCUCGGUGUAGCAGUGAAAUGCGUAGAUAUCGAGAGGAACACUCGUGGCGAAGGCGGGUUCCUGGACAUUAACUGACGCUGAGGCACGAAGGCCAGGGGAGCGAAAGGGAUUAGAUACCCCGGUAGUC
This 446-nucleotide ribosomal RNA is filed under the name uncultured bacterium. RNAcentral describes it as "partial 16S ribosomal RNA". It matches the Rfam family "Bacterial small subunit ribosomal RNA", at positions 338 to 795 of the family's 1533-position model. The record is from RNAcentral.